RNAcentral lists this ribosomal RNA (40 nucleotides) under Diaporthe rosae. RNAcentral's name for it is "partial 18S ribosomal RNA". Lineage: Eukaryota; Fungi; Ascomycota; Sordariomycetes; Diaporthales; Diaporthaceae. The record is from RNAcentral.
UAACAAGGUCUCUGUUGGUGAACCAGCGGAGGGAUCAUUG